GCCAGCAGCCAUAUCACCCUGGAACUCACAACUGGCAACCCACUGAAGCUAAGCAGGUGUGAGCCUGGUCAGUACCUGGAUGGGAGACCUCCUGGGAAAAACGUUGCUGCUGGAA
Lepisosteus oculatus (spotted gar) is the source of this 115-nucleotide ribosomal RNA. The record is from Ensembl. NCBI's taxonomy places the organism in Eukaryota, Metazoa, Chordata, Actinopteri, Semionotiformes, Lepisosteidae.